Molecule: long non-coding RNA, 261 nt
Organism: Arabidopsis lyrata subsp. lyrata
Lineage: Eukaryota; Viridiplantae; Streptophyta; Magnoliopsida; Brassicales; Brassicaceae
Exons: 2
Source: RefSeq, a predicted model, not a curated record
UUUUUAUAGAGCAUGAAUGAACUAGGUGAACCAGAAUUUGUUUUUAAUAUGCAAGGCCAAGGAGCUGAUAGUCUGUAGAAUGAAUGAUUGAGAUACAAAGGUUCAUGCGGGUCAAGGAGAGUGAUAUUGUCUACUUCUAGUUUUCUGUUUUUAUGCCAUGAACUUGUUAGGCAAUCCGGUUUGUCAAUUUGUCUUUUUUCUUGGAUUUGAAUCAUGUGUAAUGGAUGUUUAAGACUUUCCUAUUUAAAUGCUUUAAGUUUU